RNAcentral lists this ribosomal RNA (208 nucleotides) under uncultured bacterium. RNAcentral's name for it is "partial 16S ribosomal RNA". It matches the Rfam family "Bacterial small subunit ribosomal RNA", at positions 1297 to 1500 of the family's 1533-position model. The record is from RNAcentral.
AUUGUAGGCUGCAACUCGCCUACAUGAAGUCGGAAUUGCUAGUAAUCGCGGAUCAGCAUGCCGCGGUGAAUACGUUCCCGGGCCUUGUACACACCGCCCGUCACACCAUGGAAGUCUGCAAUGCCCGAAGCCGGUGGCCUAACCACUUAUGUGGAAGGAGCCGUCUAAGGCAGGGCAGAUGACUGGGGUGAAGUCGUAACAAGGUAGC